AGUUUGAUCCCUGGCUCAGAUUGAACGCUGGCGGCAGGCCUAACACAUGCAAGUCGAGCGGCAGCGGGAAAGUAGCUUGCUACUUUUGCCGGCGAGCGGCGGACGGGUGAGUAAUGCCUGGGGAUCUGCCCAGUCGAGGGGGAUAACAGUUGGAAACGACUGCUAAUACCGCAUACGCCCUACGGGGGAAAGGAGGGGACCUUCGGGCCUUUCGCGAUUGGAUGAACCCAGGUGGGAUUAGCUAGUUGGUGGGGUAAUGGCUCACCAAGGCGACGAUCCCUAGCUGGUCUGAGAGGAUGAUCAGCCACACUGGAACUGAGACACGGUCCAGACUCCUACGGGAGGCAGCAGUGGGGAAUAUUGCACAAUGGGGGAAACCCUGAUGCAGCCAUGCCGCGUGUGUGAAGAAGGCCUUCGGGUUGUAAAGCACUUUCAGCGAGGAGGAAAGGUUGGCAGCUAAUAUCUGUCAGCUGUGACGUUACUCGCANAAGAAGCACCGGCUAACUCCGUGCCAGCCGCCGCG
This 523-nucleotide ribosomal RNA is filed under the name Aeromonas sp. RNAcentral's name for it is "bacterial SSU rRNA". It matches the Rfam family "Bacterial small subunit ribosomal RNA", at positions 10 to 519 of the family's 1533-position model. The record is from RNAcentral. Lineage: Bacteria; Pseudomonadati; Pseudomonadota; Gammaproteobacteria; Aeromonadales; Aeromonadaceae.